RNAcentral lists this ribosomal RNA (19 nucleotides) under Aspidistra paucitepala. Lineage: Eukaryota; Viridiplantae; Streptophyta; Magnoliopsida; Asparagales; Asparagaceae. RNAcentral also lists the same sequence under 4 other names. The record is from RNAcentral.
GGUGCGAUCAUACCAGCAC